This 166-nucleotide ribosomal RNA is filed under the name Brachionus calyciflorus. RNAcentral describes it as "5.8S ribosomal RNA". It matches the Rfam family "5.8S ribosomal RNA". Rfam says of the family: 5.8S ribosomal RNA (5.8S rRNA) is a component of the large subunit of the eukaryotic ribosome. The record is from RNAcentral. Lineage: Eukaryota; Metazoa; Rotifera; Eurotatoria; Ploima; Brachionidae.
AAAAUUCAACCCUAUGCGGUGGAUCACUUGGCUCGCGAGUCGAUGAAGAGCGCAGCAAACUGCGUGAAUUAAUGUGAUUUGCAGGACACAUUGAUCAUCCAUAUCUUGAACGCAUAUUGCGGUUAUGGAUCGCUUCCAUGACCACGCCUGUCUGAGGGUCGGUAUU